RNAcentral lists this small RNA (85 nucleotides) under Lacinutrix venerupis. Its description in RNAcentral is "Flavo-1 RNA". It matches the Rfam family "Flavo-1 RNA". The record is from RNAcentral. Lineage: Bacteria; Pseudomonadati; Bacteroidota; Flavobacteriia; Flavobacteriales; Flavobacteriaceae.
UUAUUGCGUGAAGGAUGGAAAUGGCAUCCUUUUUUUUGCUGCCAUAUAUGGCAAAAAAAAGAUAUAAUGUACAGCCUGACCUUUA